GAUGAACGCUGGCGGCGUGCUUAACACAUGCAAGUCGAACGAAAAGACGAGACGCUUGCUUCUCGGAUGUUAGCGGCACACGGGUGAGUAACACGUGGAUAACCUCCUUGUAAGACUGGGAUAACCAGGGGAAUCCGGAUCUAAUACGGGAGAAUAUUCUGCACCACAUGGUUCAAAAGUAAAAUACGGUGUUGCGGUCACUAAUAGAUGGAUCUGAGCUGGAUUAGCUAGUUGGUGAGGUAACGGCUUACCACGGCAACGAUGCAUAGCCGACCUGAGAGGGUGAUCGGCGGCCCUGGAGCGGGGACGCGCCCCAGAGUCCUAAGGGAGGCACCAGUAGGGCACCUGCGGCAGGGGGCGGAAGCCUGACGGAGCAACGGGGCGUGAGUGAUAAAGAGCUACGGAUCGUAAAGCACUGUUUUUAGGUGUAAACAUAUGUCUAAGUACAGGUAGAAAUAUGGACGGUACUGAGGAAGAAAGCCCCGGCUAACUACGG
Molecule: ribosomal RNA, 496 nt
Filed under: uncultured bacterium
Lineage: Bacteria
Description: partial 16S ribosomal RNA
Rfam family: Bacterial small subunit ribosomal RNA
Source: RNAcentral